Molecule: ribosomal RNA, 253 nt
Filed under: uncultured bacterium
Lineage: Bacteria
Description: partial 16S ribosomal RNA
Rfam family: Bacterial small subunit ribosomal RNA
Source: RNAcentral
CACGUAGGGCGCAAGCGUUGUCCGGAAUUAUUGGGCGUAAAGAGCUCGUAGGCGGUCUGUUGCGUCCGCUGUGAAAACUCGGGGCUUAACCCCGAGCCUGCAGUGGAUACGGGCAGACUAGAGGUAGGUAGGGGAGAAUGGAAUUCCCGGUGUAGCGGUGAAAUGCGCAGAUAUCAGGAGGAACACCAGUGGCGAAAGCGGCUUCCUGGUCCAGCACCGACGUUCAGGCACGAAAGCGUGGGGAGCAAACAGG